Long non-coding RNA from Gorilla gorilla gorilla (western lowland gorilla), 835 nucleotides. RefSeq lists it as uncharacterized. Lineage: Eukaryota; Metazoa; Chordata; Mammalia; Primates; Hominidae. The record is from RefSeq and is a predicted model, not a curated record. The transcript has 6 exons.
GGAGGGAGGAACACCUUGAGAGGAGUUGAGAUCCUGCUUUCUCUUCAGAAUGCCAUCUCUAGGAUGCCAAUGGGCUGUGUCUACAGUACUAUGUAGGAAAGCGCUGCAAGAGUUUCAGGAAAUUAUGGAUAAAGCUGCCAUACAAAUCCAUGUGCAGGUUUUUCAAUGGAUGUAUGUUUUCAUUUUCUUCAGUGACUCUGGAAGGUUGUGCUGAGAACUCUGAAGGCUUGCUGUGACUUUUUGGAGAGCCCAUUUUGCCUAAACAAGAACCACGAUUAUGUAAAGUUCUUUCUGUCACCUCUCUGAAGACCUGGUUCAUAUCUGCAGCUGCAACUCUAUCCCUGAACUCAUCUUUGAAACUACCCAGAGAUAGACUGUCAAGAGCUUUAGAGCUUUACAACAGGAUCUUCCAAGUGCCCUGAGAGGUCAUGAUGGAGCCAAUAGAAAUAAAUCAUACAAAACAAAGCCAGAACCUGGUGGGAGGGAUGCUUACAAAACAACAUAAACAAGAAGUUGUCUGAAAAAAAAUUGUAUGGAAGGAAGAAGAGAUGAGAUAAUGGAAAUGAACUCAUAAUAGCCCCAGUUAAAAUACUUACAGUAAAAUAUCAUUAGUACUACUUGAUGUUGGUGAAAGGCUCUAGACUCAAGUCAGAAGGCCCAAGUCGUUGCUGUGAUUUCUUGAACAAAUUAUGUAAUUUUGUUGAGAUUCAGUUUUCUUUUCUAUCAUUGGGUAUUAAUAACUUCUAUGUGAUGUCAGAGUUAUGAUGUGAAGUUAAAAUAACUAAUAAAUGGGUAAACCCUGAAAAUUUGAUAGAAUUUUGUGAAUGAGGGAAUC